CUGGGAGUCAACCACGCUCUCAGUGCACAUCGGGUUGGGGUCGCGCCAGGGUGUGUGUGUAUGUGUGUCUAUGUGGUAAUUUGGAGAAUAAAUAAUCCAUAGGAUCCACGUGGAAAGCCUUGGCAUGGAGGAUGGAGCCAGGUCCUGCAGGAGGUGUGGGCACUGCUCCUGUGAUGACCUGGCACUGAGGAGCUCCAGUGCCACUACUAGAGAGGUAUACCUCUUCAAAUAUACCUCUUCGCCUCUGAUAUACUUCGCACCAUACCCACCUUAUGUGUAUAGAAAAAUUCAAAGUGUUGGUGAAUAAUCAAACUAUUGUGGAAGGCAGGUGGCAGGUUUGCCAACCACCACAUGAGGAAUCGAAAUAUGUCUGAUUAGUGAUUUAAAAAACAAAAUAAACGAGUCAUUAGACGUUGAUAGUGACA
Molecule: non-coding RNA, 425 nt
Organism: Procambarus clarkii (red swamp crayfish)
Lineage: Eukaryota; Metazoa; Arthropoda; Malacostraca; Decapoda; Cambaridae
Source: RefSeq, a predicted model, not a curated record